UCAACCCUGCAACUUCUCAGCAGCACUCCCGUAGGCCCCCCACCACUACCACCAUCACCCCUCCACCCAUAUCCCCUCCGUCAUCCACGAAAGGAGCUGUGCGUGCCGUGCGGGGGCAGUGCCGCACACAUCCUUUACUAUCCCGUAUCUUCCUCUGCUGUCACAGCGCAGCAGCGACGACCUCAUCGCCUCACUCUUGAGACAGCCUCCGCUCGAAUCGCCUCUGCCUGUCUCUCAUUACCUGACUUCCGCCCCUCCCACCACCACCGCCCACUGCACAGGGGAAGGAUGGGGCCAGAGGUGCCGGCUUGGAUAAUCUGAGCGUACGUAGCCUUUGGCAUUCUGUUCUGCGCGCGUCUCUAGGCGUUGUGCUUUUCAACUCACCCCUUUGUCUUCUUGCAUCUCUCUCUGUUUGCGUGCGUGUCCGUGUCCUCACGCGCACCCAUCACCACGGAAGGCAGCCGGGCGCUGCAGCCGGCUCACAGCUCCACGAGUGAGACUAUGCGCCUCUCUGCUACAUCGCUAUCUAAGCUCACAUUAAUCGUUAAUAUCUUUUUUUUUUUGGUAUUUGUGGAGGGAGCACAUCCGGUUUUGCGUGUUGCUGUGGCUGUGCGCGCCAACGGCCAGCUGAGGCGCACAAGUAGAAGUGGCAUGUAAAGCCAGCACCGGCACACGUGUGCACACAAUACACACGCGCGGUGUUACUUACUCUGAAACCGAGACUACCUCUCUCGACUGCUCUCGGCGCCGAUGCCGAGUCCUCCUCACGUUAUUGCAUACUCAAUGCAGCGACGGGUGGCACCGCCGUAUCACUCCCUGCGAGGUCGUCCCAUUGGCGCAAUGGUGAUCGAUAGCUUUCCGGUGCAGCUCCGCAUGUACGUUGCCAGCUCGCCCCUCAUCGCUUCCGCCGGAGGCUGGUCUUCGUGUUUUGCCUCGGCCAGGCUCUUUACUGACGCCGCUGCAUCGCUGUCACCCGUGGUGGAUGUCUCAUCGUCCGCACCGCCGUCCCCGUUUGAAGUACAUCAAGUAAUCGCACGCGCGGCGCAGCGUGGCGAGUGGGAGCACGCCAUUCGUCUUCUCGUAGGCUCCCUGCACAGUCACUGUGUUCCUCUCGCAGAAACGUACCAGCUGAUUCUCCUGGCUGCACUGCGGGGCGGAGGAUGGCGAGCCAGCGUUCAACUCACGAAGCAAAUGGCAACUAGCACUCUCUCGACAGCAGCCCUCUACCACACGGCGGCGGACCUGCUGCUCGCCAAAUCGACAUUUAACUUGGAGACUUCGAGCACGUCCCUUGAUCGGGUAGUGCUGAAGGAGCUCGUACCACUCAUGCUGGCCGACGCCACGCAGCACGUGGUGUGGCGUCCGCGUCACCGUGAGGCGGCACUGCGAGCCCUUGGGAAGGCAGAGAAACACCAGAAGAUAUCAGCCUUGUUUCGUCGAUGGACGGCCGCUACUGCUCUUCUCGGUAGUGUUUCGCGACUCCGGUGCAGCGAGGAAGAGGCCACUCUGUUCAUGGCGGCGUUCGGCGUAACCGGAGACUGGCGCUCUGCAGAAACACUGCGGACAAGCCUUUCCCAGAUCUCCGCCCCACUUCUCGUCAGCUAUGUGCGUGCAUUCGCCGUGGCGGUGCAGCACGCUGAAACAUCAAGCCUAGCAGCGCCACAGGAGCUUGUUCCGUGGGAGAUGGCUUUAGACACUGCUGCCGCGGGCAAGCAGGAUGCGCCACUGCUGGAGGCCGUGACGGAGCUGUUGAGUGCGGCACGUCACACCGCAGCCCCCGCCGGCGGGGCUCGCUGGUGGUGGGCGGCCAGCACUUCCACACACGCGAAACUGGCAGAGCUGCGCAGGCGUGCGGCAAUCUCCGCGCGUGAGGCAGCGCAGUUGCUGGUGGAGUGCCAUGUGACGACCGCGCAGGUUAGGAGCUUGCUAGAUGCCGUGCGCGUGUCCGGUGUGCUGAGCUCAGCGGCGGCAGAGGCUUCUCCGUACUAUGAGGGAUGGGUGAAUGUGGUGCUGGUUCUGAGCCAGUACUGCCCACACGCGUUGGUGUCCGUUGACGGGUGUGCCGACGGGCUCGUGCAGCUGCUGCCGCAUCCCCACCUGCAAAUCCGGCGGCAGCGGGGCGGUGCAACACCGCAUACCCUCGCUUUAUGGCGGCACGUGGCGCAGAGUGCCGCAGGCGGAGAUGUCGCGAAGCCUGCCAGUGUAGCGUGGUACGUUGUCUAUACGUCAUCCGCGUUGCAUUAUCUGCGUCACGCUGCCCUGCAGCCGGCGCAGCUGGCGAAGGCUGAGGGUACACUGAGUGCCGCGUUGGCGCGACAGUUGCGCUGCCCCGGCCAUCAUCCCAUGCACGGAGCUCUUCUCACCGGUUUCGCAGGCAAGCCCGAUGCGCUGUUUAUCUUGCUCCGUACCGUCAGCGCGCACAUCAGCGUGCCUUCGGCAGAGCGCUGCGUCACGCUAGUGAUGCGCGACGAGGCCGCCAGCAUUGGUGAGAUGGUGGACGAGCUGUUGCUCAGCUUUCUGGAACCGCUCGACGCGUUGGGGACACCUGAGGAGAUGUGCGAAGCUGUGUGCGCUGCCGGCGAGGCUGCUCUGCUCUCCUCCCCGCUGUCCUACUCCUCCACCCAGUUUGUGUGCCUCGCUGUAUGGUACACCUGUCACCAACUGCGACGUGGUGUUUCCUUGAGUUCGCUGCGGCCUGCACUCCGCCGCACUGUUUCGCUUGUUGAGCGACUUCCAGGUUCCGCGGAGGCGUUGACGCUGCUGAGCGCUCAACUGCAAUGGUGCUGGGGUGCUUCAUUGGAGGCGCUGCGGGAGCAGGCGGUCCCCAUCUUGCUGCGCCGUGAGGAGUGGGAUGUCCUCGCUCGGCUGCUCGAGCGCUGCCCUCAGCCACUGUCGACGCAGGAGCAGCACAUCCUGCAGCGCUGCAAGAACGGCGCCAAAGUGACGGCGCUGCAGAACCUCGUUACGGUCCAUCGCGCGACAGCUGCAUGGGAGUACUGGCAGGGCGAGUUGUGCGGUGCAGCUCGAGAAGCGCCUCUGCCCACGUCCCUGUACGACAGCCUCGUCUCUCUCCUCUUGGCCCACGGACUCGUGACGGAGGCGCACGCGGUGCUGGAUGGCAGUGGUGCAUCGGAGGUCCGUGUGCCGCACACAACGUGGUCUCACACCGGGUUGCGCGUCUACGACUAUGCGAGACGGUGGCGCCGGCGCGAGCAGGGGAUGCAGCUGGCGGAGUUGUGGGGCGCGGCCGCACUAGCGGAAGAGGAGGCAGAUCGCGACGGCAGUGAGGUCCGGAAACGUGAGGCAACUGUAAUCCUUGCUCUCUACGCUGGUUUGGCCCUGGAACACACCCAUCGAGCAGCGGACGCAAGUCAAGUGAUUGCGGCCGCAGUCGACUAUGUUCUCCGAUACGACGAGGCGCAUCACCACCGUGGCACACAGCCCCCACUCGACUUUGCAACGCUGCACAGGACAGACGCUCAACUCGCGGCGCGCCUUCCUGAUUACGUACAAUGCGCCGCGCCGCGCCUCAUCUGUGCCGCACUCAACUGCAGUGGCGAGACAUCACGGAAGCCGGCAACUAAAGCCGCUUGCUCGAGCGUUGACAGCGGUGCUGUUUCAGAGGUGCUGCGCAGCGUGGCGUAUCUGCUCCCCCUCACCUCAACGAGUGGAGCGGCAGUGAUGGCGUGGUCAGAGACGGUGCUACGGCUCUACACGGUGGCCGGCGCCUGUGCCAUAGAUGCCAUGCCGGCAGUGGCGAAGUUGGCGCAAAAGCUGCUGUAUCAGGCGGCGGAGCAAAAGGUAGCGGUGGCGCCGUCGUUUCUACGCCUCGUGCUCGCUACAGGACCGCUCUCCACAACGCUGCUUGCAGCGGUGCGGCAGUGUCUCCUCCUGAGGCCUGGCAAUGCACCCACUGGACCGUAUAGCACAGAUGUUGCUGCUACUGCCGUGCAGGUGGCGGUUUCGCUCGCCGACUCUGGCAACCACUCUGCAGCCCUGGAGUGGGUAGAGGAGUUCGAGCUAUGGCAAAGGGGAGAGGCAGCGGGGAAGGAGGUCACAGAGCCUGUCUCGCAGACGGUGGUGGACAUGGCCACUCAGUUGUCGUGGCUGCAGGCCGCCCAGGCCGCCGCGCAGCGCCGCGCCGAUCAGCGUGCUGCCCUCUGUCAGCAUCGCCGCGCGGCGCAGGCUGGCGCCAGCAGGGGCAGCGUGGCGUUUGAGCUCUACUCACGGGAUGCUCUCGAUCGCCUCAUCGACUGUGAUGCGUGGGAGGAGGCGCUGGACGCUUUCCUGCACGUGUUGGCCGCCCCUAUUGACGUGAAAAGCCUCUUCUCGGAAGAGUCAAUGAAGCUGAUGGAGCUGCGCGACGCGUACCUCUCCGCGGAUGUGCUAAACUCCGUCAUGCUGUGCGUAGCCCGUUGUGCGCCGUGGCGAACCACGGUGCAGGCGUGGAUGCUGCUGACCAGUCAAGCCCCCCUUUUCCCUUGGAAUGCUUGCGCUGCCGCACUGACCCCAAGCAUACACGAGUUGCUGAGUGUGAUGGCGCGUCAAUGUGCGCUGCCUCACGAGGUCGGCACCGUUGUGGCUUGGAUGGUGGCGCAGCUGGACUUGCCUAGGUCUGCAACGUCCGCCCUUUGUUCUCGUUUCGCUGACUGCAUCGAUGCCUCAUCGUCUACCGGUGCCGGGCACGCGUGGACAGCGGCAGAGGCGCAACUAUGCGCCGAGAUCGUUGCACAGCUGCGACGAUUGUGUGGCGAGAAACGCGUGCGGGAAGCUGGACACGCUAUCGCGGAGGCGCAGGCAGCCCUUUUCCCGCCUUCCCUCCACACGCCAGCGCCCCACAGCGAGGAGGGUACAGUGCCUUCGGCAACAUCGUGGCUGCCGCCUGGUCGCCCCCCGCUGUCGGCGGAGGAGCUCGACACGCUGGCCGUUAUAGCCCCGCUGCUGCUCCUCGCCUCAACGCCGCAGCUGGAGUCUCUCGCACAGCAACAUCUGGGCGGCACGUUUAAGGCGCAUGAACUCAAAGCCCUCCUUCACCUCUACCGAGAAGAGCUCCUGCAGCGCGUCGCCACCGUGCGUGAGCCUGACGCGGCGCUCGUGCAAUACCUCGCGCAAAAUGCAACCCUACGCGUGCUUCUCUCUCAAUGCGCGGAAGUGAGGCCAGCAAAGCAUCCCACGUGGCGCACGCGCGACAAGGCUGCGGCGGAGUGGAUGGCGCAGCACAUCUUCGACGGCUUCUUGCCGUUGAGCACGGCAGAGGAGCUCUGGAAAGCGUGUGAAGAGCCUGCAAAGAAGCUGGCAGAGUGUCGGUGGUCCGCCGUGGCAGAGGCAGAGCUGUGCGGGGAGUUGUUGCGGCGUCACGGCAAGCCGCCGGAAAAGCUGAGCACCGCACCGCACUUGACGCGGCAGGCGAUCUCCCACUACUGGAGCUGCUUCCAUCGCGUUCUCCUGCCUGAGAUGCAUUUUGGCCCGCUGGAGCUGUGCUGCCUCGCCUCCUACGCUCCGGCCCUUGCCGAGGCGCGGGCGGCGUGCCCGGACAUGACGCAGCCGGCCUACGCCGAUGCCGUUGCCGAGCUCGCCAAUCACGCAUACAAGUCACACUUCUGCCCCAGUAGUGUACCUGUCGAGGACACCCUCAGCUACUUACGUCGCCCUCAUUGCGCAGCCGCAAUCGCAGCAGUCAUGACAAGCGCCUUCAAGAAACUCAAGGUGCUGCACGCGCAGCUCUCCGACGUCCGCAGCGCUGCGGCGCGCGGCUACCGGCUACCGUUUUCGUGGAAUACAGUCUCUGCCGCUGCUGUACAGCUGCCACCGGAGCUGAAUCGGCAGUGCCUCGCUGAUGCCGCCCGGUGCAUUCCCCAUGACGCGGUUCCUGUAACGAAAGUGGCUCCCGUUCACGCGUCCCACACAUGCAUUGCAUCGCCGCUGCUGCGCCGAUGGACGCAGUGGGCAACGGGGAUGGCGUGCGCCAGCUCGCCCAAGUCGUUACCACAGGCGGGCUCACUACUACUUGUGGAGUGGACGAAGGAAGCGCUUCAGUCGGCCUGCGAUCUCCCUCACGCAGAUCAAGUUCGCAGCGCCGCCCUUACAGCUGCCGGCGGUGGUGGCAAUAAAGUAUGUGCGUUGUGGCAGGAAGUGGCACGAGCAGGAAAGCGUGAACUGCGGCAACAGCGGUGCCGUGACCUUAGUGCGGUGUGGCAGCUUCUCGCCGGUGCGAAGGUGUGGCGCUUCAUGGACCCUGGGCACGUGAUGGUGCUGCGCCGGCUUGUGCUCCCCUCCAACUCCAAAGUUAGGGCGCUGCCUUCCAAGCGCGAUGCAGUCAUGCACCACCGAAAGACGUCGCAGCGAAAGGAAGAAAAGGGUUGUGUGUAACCGUGUUCUACCCAUGCACCUGUAUGCGUGUAUGAGAGAAGGGGGUGGGAAGCACACCGCGCAGGUGGAGGGGGGGGGGGGGGGCGUUUGUGCGCGUUGCCCGCUCCUUCUUUUUUCUCUUGAUUGUAAGGAGGGGCCCGGAUGACAUCGGGGCACCUCAGAGUGUGGUAUCGCAGAGUCUAGUGCCUACGACGUGCGGGAGGUCACCGCGACGUACCGCUGCCGAUGUCGGCGGUCAGGUCGUGGAUGGCGCUGCGUCGGAGCGACCUGCGACAGUGCGCACGCUUGCACCAUCCAUAUGAUAGGCGAAGUGCCGACGUGACUCGAGCGUAUCCCACCCGGCCCCCGCACUGCCUAGUGGUGUGGGUGGGCGAGUAGAGUUUGACGGCAGAGGCCGUGCUCCCAUGACCGAGUCGGUGCAUUGGCGUGAUGCGUGUCUAGCGCGGCUUCGCACCACCCGAUGGGGCCUUUGGCAGAGCCCGGGGGUCGAGGGGCGCUUGGCUCAUGUGGGACCGCAGAGAAGCGGGCACGUUGGCAAAAGAAAACGAUGAGGAAUGCAGAGUGGAGCAAGUGCUCUUAGGGCGACGUGCCCCACCCGCAGGACGUGCAUGCAGGCGUGCGAACGCGUUGACAUG
Molecule: unclassified non-coding RNA, 7004 nt
Filed under: Leishmania donovani
Lineage: Eukaryota; Euglenozoa; Kinetoplastea; Trypanosomatida; Trypanosomatidae
Description: gene:LdHU3.04.0120(CDS-product:hypothetical_prote in_conserved)
Source: RNAcentral